AUUGCACGCUGGCGGCAGGCCUAACACAUGCAAGUCGAGCGCGCGGCGGACGGGUGAGUAAUGUCUGGGAAACUGCCCGAUGGAGGUGGAUAACUACUGGAAACGGUAGCUAAUACCGCAUACUAUCAGAUGUGCCCAGAUGGGCUUAGCUAGUAGGUGGGGUAACGGCUCACCUAGGCGACGAUCCCUAGCUGGGCUGAGAGGAUGACACGCCACCCUGGGACUGAUACACGGUCCAGACCCCUACGGGAGGAAGCAGUGGGGAAUAUUGAACAAUGGGCGCAAGCCUGAUGCAGCCAUGCCGCGUGUGUGAAGAAGGCCUUCGGGUUGUAAAGCACUUUCAGCGGGGAGGCGUUACCCGCAGAAGAAGCACCGGCUAACUCCGUGCCAGCAGCCGCGGUAAUAC
Molecule: ribosomal RNA, 406 nt
Filed under: uncultured bacterium
Lineage: Bacteria
Description: partial 16S ribosomal RNA
Rfam family: Bacterial small subunit ribosomal RNA
Source: RNAcentral